RNA transcript from Odobenus rosmarus divergens (Pacific walrus), 1290 nucleotides. It is a transcript of the gene named S-adenosylmethionine synthase isoform type-2-like, with no coding region annotated. NCBI's taxonomy places the organism in Eukaryota, Metazoa, Chordata, Mammalia, Carnivora, Odobenidae. The transcript has a single exon. The record is from RefSeq and is a predicted model, not a curated record.
GCUGAGUAGGAUGCAGUCUUCUGCUUGUGCAUUUCGCAGGCGUGGCCUCGCCGCUCCCCUUUUUCUUCAGUGCCACUUAACACUCACCGCUACGAACACCAACGUGAACGGGCAACUCAACGGCUUUCACGAGGCGUUCAUCGAGGAGGGCACGUUCCUCUUCACCUCAGAGUCUGUGGAGGAAGGCCACCCAGAUAAGAUCUGUGACCAGAUCAGUGAUGCUGUGCUUGAUGCCCACCUUCAGCAGGACCCUGAUGCCAAAGGGGCUUGUGAAACUGUGGCUAAAACUGGAAUGAUCCUUCUUGCUGGGGAAAUUACGUCCAGAGCUGCUGUUGACUACCAGAAAGUGGUUCGUGAAACCAUUAAAUACAUUGGAUAUGAUGAUUCUUCCAAAGGGUUUGACUACAAGACUUGUAAUGUGCUGGUAGCCUUGGAGGAACAGUCACCAGAUAUUGCUCAAGGUGUUAAUCUUGACCGGAACGAGGAACACAUUGGUGCAGGGGACCAGGGUUUGAUGUUUGGUUAUGCACUGAUGAAACUGAGGAACGUAUGCCUUUAACUAUUGUCUUAGUACACAAGCUCAAUGCAAAACCAGCCGAACUACGCCGCAAUGGCACUUUGCCUUGGUUACGUCCAGAUUCUAAACCUCAAGUGACUGUGCAGUGCAUGCAGGAUCGAGGUGCUGUGCUUCCCAUCAGAGUCCACACAAUUGUUAUAUCUGUUCAGCAUGAUGAAGAGGUUUGCCUUGAUGAGAUGAGGGAUGCCCUAAAGGAGAAAGUCAUCAAAGCAGUUGUCCCUGCAAAAUAUCUUGAUGAGGAUACAAUCUAUUGUCUACAGCCAAGUGGCAGAUUUGUUAUUGGUGGGCCUCAGGGUGAUGCUGGUUUGACUGGCCGGAGAAUCAUUGUGGACACUUGUGGCGGUUGGGGAGCUCAUGGAGGAGGUGCCUUUUCAGGAAAAGAUUAUACCAAGGUGGACCGUUCAGCUGCUUAUGCUGCUCGUUAGGUGGCAAAAUCCCUUGUUAAAGGGGGUCUGUGCAGAAGGGUUCUUGUUCAGGUCUCUUAUGCUAUUGGAGUUUCUCAUCCAUUGUCUAUCUCCAUUUUCCAUUAUGGCACCUCUCAGAAGAGUGAGAGAGAGCUAUUAGAGAUUGUGAAGAAGAAUUUUGACCUCCGCCCUGGGGUCAUUGUCAGGGAUCUGGAUCUGAAGAAGCCAAUUUAUCAGAGGACGGCAGCCUAUGGCCACUUUGGUAGGGACAGCUUCCCAUGGGAAGUGCCCAAAAAGCUUAAAUAUUGA